CCCGUAAUCGGAAUGAGUACACUUUAAAUCCUUNAACGAKGAUMCAUUGGAGGGCAAGUCUGGUNCCAGCAGCCGCGGUAAUUCCAGCUMCWAUAGCGUAUAUNAAAGUUGUUGCGGUUAAAAAGCUCGUAGUUGAAUCUGUGUGCCWCAAUGUCGGUCCGCCGCUCGCGGUGGUUACUNGCAUCACGUGGGACGUCCUACCGGUGGACUCAGCCCUCNUUCNGGGGCGGUCCAACUAAUAUCCCAUCGCGGUGCUCUUCAUUGAGUGUCGAGGUGGGCCGGURCGUUUACUUUGAACAAAUUAGAGUGCUUAAAGCAGGCUACUUUCGCCUGAAUACUGUGUGCAUGGAAUAAUGGAAUAGGACCUCGGUUCUAUUUUGUUGGUUUUCGGAACCCCGAGGUAAUGAUUAAUAGGGACAGAUGGGGGCAUUCGUAUUGCGACGUUAGAGGUGAAAUUCUUGGAUCGUCGCAAGACGGACAGAAGCGAAAGCAUUUGCCAAAAAUGUUUUCAUUAAUCAAGAACGAAAGUUAGAGGUUCGAAGGCGAUCAGAUACCGCCCUAGUUCUAACCAUAAACGAUGCCAGCUAGCGAUCCGCCGAAGUUCCUCCGAUGACUCGGCGGGCAGCUUCCGGGAAACCAAAGCUUUUGGGUUCCGGGGGAAGUAUGGUUGCAAAGCUGAAACUUAAAGGAAUUGACGGAAGGGCACCACCAGGAGUGGAGCCUGCGGCUUAAUUUGACUCAACACGGGAAACCUCACCAGGCCCGGACACCGGAAGGAUURACAGAUUGAUAGCUCUUUCU
This 801-nucleotide ribosomal RNA is filed under the name Chlorepyris sp. RNAcentral's name for it is "SSU rRNA". The record is from RNAcentral. Lineage: Eukaryota; Metazoa; Arthropoda; Insecta; Hymenoptera; Bethylidae.